GUGGUUUAAUUCGAUGAUUACGCGAGGAACCUUACCUGGCUUAAAUGUAGAGUGCAUUUUUUUAGAGAUUAGGAAAUUCCCUUCGGGGCUUUUCUGGCAAGGUGCUGCAUGGUUGUCGUCAGCUCGUGCCGUGAGGUGUCGGGUUAAGUCCCAUAACGAGCGCAACCCUUAUCGUUAGUUGCCAGCUGGUAAAGCAGGGGACUCUAGCGAAACUGCCACCGUAAGGUGAGAGGAAGGUGGGAUGACGUCAAAUCAGCACGGCCCUUAUGUCCAGGGCUACACACGUGUUACAAUGGCCGGCACAGAGGGCAGCUACCUGGUGACAGGAUGCUAAUCUCGAAAACCGGUCUCAGUUCGGAUCGAAGUCUGCAACUCGACUUCGUGAAGCUGGAUUCGCUAGUAAUCGCGCAUCAGCCAUGGCGCGGUGAAUACGUUCCCGGGCUU
This 444-nucleotide ribosomal RNA is filed under the name uncultured Sphingobacteriales bacterium. Its description in RNAcentral is "bacterial SSU rRNA". It matches the Rfam family "Bacterial small subunit ribosomal RNA", at positions 941 to 1381 of the family's 1533-position model. The record is from RNAcentral. Lineage: Bacteria; Pseudomonadati; Bacteroidota; Sphingobacteriia; Sphingobacteriales.